Tachysurus fulvidraco (yellow catfish) is the source of this 910-nucleotide long non-coding RNA. RefSeq lists it as uncharacterized. Lineage: Eukaryota; Metazoa; Chordata; Actinopteri; Siluriformes; Bagridae. The transcript has 2 exons. The record is from RefSeq and is a predicted model, not a curated record.
UGUCACUUUAAAUUUUUCUUGAGGACGUUACAUGUUUCAUCAUGUUUCUUGAGCAUGUUAGGUUAUGCAGUAGGUGGAGUAACGCAAAGGUAAUUAGAUCAGCAGAGAGAAAAGAGCGAAGAUUCAUGUUCGUAUACAGUCUAUAUACAGUACAUAUAUGUGUUUUCCAGUGAGCAGAGACUAAAUUCUGCUUAAUUUCAUCUUAGUUCCCUUUGGUAAAGCGGGCCGAGGAGAUCAAGAUCCAUUAAUGAGGUGCUGGAUGUGUGAGAAGACACAAGAUCGAAGCUGUAAAUUUAUUUCGCUGUGUACUAUACUGUAGGUAGUGUGUAGUCUGCUGUGUGUACAAACCCCAGUAACCAUCUUUUCACUUUGCUGCCAUCCGGUAAGCGCUUCCGAAGCCUAAUGGCAAAAACCGAGAGACUUGGGAGGAGUUUCUUCCCCAGGCCAUAAGGCUCCUAAACUCAAAACCAGCCUCUUAACAUCUUCAUGUCUCCACUUAAUAUUCACUUUAUCAGUAAGAUAUUCAUCAUUCACUACCUCACGUUGACAUACUGUGUCAACCUGUUUACACAUUCCUGUGUAUCUUAAUAUUUAAGACUACAGUAUAAUGCACAUUGCCUCUUGUACAUCCCUGUGUAUCUCUAUUUAUGACUACAGUAUAGUUUACUUUCAUGCACACUAUUUUUCAUUCUAUAGUUAACUUCACAGUAUACAUCUUUUAUAUUUUAUUCUUAUAUUUUUAUUGUUUACUUUUAUUUCACUCUUUCAUAGCUAUAUUUUCAUCUGUGUUGUAUUUUUUUAAAUAAUUACACUGUCCAUGGAGCAGACCUGACUCACGUUUCACUGCUGGUUAUAUACAGUAUGCUCUAUAUAAUUGUGUAUGUGACAAAUAAAAAUCUUGAAUCUUGAA